AACGAACGCUGGCGGCAUGCCUAACACAUGCAAGUCGAACGAGACCUUCGGGUCUAGUGGCGCACGGGUGCGUAACGCGUGGGAACCUGCCCUUAGGUUCGGAAUAACUCCCCGAAAGGGGUGCUAAUACCGGAUAAUGUCUUCGGACCAAAGAUUUAUCGCCUUUGGAUGGGCCCGCGUUGGAUUAGCUAGUUGGUAGGGUAAAAGCCUACCAAGGCGACGAUCCAUAGCUGGUCUGAGAGGAUGAUCAGCCACACUGGGACUGAGACACGGCCGAGACUCUUACGGGAGGCAGCAGUGGGGAAUAUUGGACAAUGGGCGAAAGCCUGAACCAGCAAUGCCGCGUGAGUGAUGAAGGCGUUAGGGUUGUAAAGCACUUUUACCCGGGAUGAUAAUGACAGUACCGGGAGAAUAAGCACCGGCUAACUCCGUG
RNAcentral lists this ribosomal RNA (433 nucleotides) under uncultured bacterium. RNAcentral's name for it is "partial 16S ribosomal RNA". It matches the Rfam family "Bacterial small subunit ribosomal RNA", at positions 29 to 507 of the family's 1533-position model. The record is from RNAcentral.